RNAcentral lists this ribosomal RNA (253 nucleotides) under uncultured bacterium. Its description in RNAcentral is "partial 16S ribosomal RNA". It matches the Rfam family "Bacterial small subunit ribosomal RNA", at positions 524 to 776 of the family's 1533-position model. The record is from RNAcentral.
UACAGGGGGGGCAAGCGUUGUUCGGAAUUACUGGGCGUAAAGGGCCAGUAGGCGGCCAACUAAGUCCGACGUGAAAUCCCCAGGCUUAACCUGGGAACUGCGUCGGAUACUGGAUGGCUUGAAUUCGGGAGAGGGAUGCAGAAUUCCAGGUGUAGCGGUGAAAUGCGUAGAGACCGGGAAGAACACCAGUGGCGAAGGCGGCUACCUGGACAGGUACUGACGCUGAAGCGCGAAAGCUAGGGGAGCAAACAGG